ACUCUCUGAGAUCUGUCAGGAAAUAAUUAUCAAAUCCCUCUACAUUUUGUAAGUGUGACAGCAGCACCUUGUGACUGAUAUUCUCAGACACUGCUGAGGCUAUGGACUCAUAAGCAUGAGCCUAGGUGUUUGUACCUUGUCCAUGGCCAGGAAAAGGUCAUAUAUCAUCACCGCUAGGGCUGUUUCCAUGCUGUAGCUCAAUUUAAAAUUACAAUUAUGAGGGGCCCAGAUCAUCUGAAAGAUUACAUGCUGUCAUAGCUUGGACACCAUUAUCUUCCAAGUGAACACACCUAUAAUGUAGAAACUGGCAACAGUGAAUUUAAAGCUCGUGAAAGGCUCUAGACUGACUGCCUUGAAGACUGGAGUCAUUAUCCGCAGAACCAAUAGAGCACAGGAAGCAGCAGUGGAAAUUUGGGGUGAAUUUGCAAAGGUGUUCCUCCUCCUCCCACUGACUGCCAGAGUUGAAUGCCUGACCACAUUCCCUUUGUGUGACUUCAGUUCCAAGCCAGAUUUCAAAGUGACCAAUACAGAAUCUGUGCUUUUGAGAGGACUUCAUGGUGAGAGACAACAUACAUCAAAGUUCAGCCUGGGAGCUUGUUGCAGAUGAUUUCACAACAGCAACAGCAGAUGAUGAGACAGCUCUUUGUUGGGGUGUAACAGAGCUCUUCACUGAAGCCACAGCAACAGAGCUGAGUGAACUCUGACGGCUGCCCUGCUAUCAUGCUGCUUGGGCUAUGGAACUUGCGUGCUGGUAGGAGAAUCCCACUCAGGAUCACAGAUCUCCUUUGACCCUAUGCUGCUGUUCACUGGGUGUCAAUGGAAGGGUGGAAGUUGAAGGACGCUCUCCCUAAACAGGUGUCUGAUUACAUGAACAAGCAGUGUAACCCAGCUGCAUUAAUAACCCACACUUUGCCUCAAUGAAGGAUUUGAACUGCUGUGAGCAGGGAAAAGUAUUCACAGCAUCCUGUUGUUUUAAGCCCUGGAGUUAUGAAGAGUAGGAUGUGAGCAGCACAGUGCUUCUCCUCCAGAAUCAUCUGUCUGACUCCUUCCCCUUAGUCAAAACUUUUAUUAGUGUGUAGAUUUUACAAUCUUUGCUUCUAGAUCUCUGUAAAUAGGGUUUAUCUGGACCUGGAAACAUCUGAAUAGAUUCAUUUUUGUUUUGGAUUAAGAAUUCAAACCUCCGUCCAUAGCUUCAAGGUGUGUGAAAGAGAGCAGGGCAUGUAGGAAUGGUUAUCCUGGAGAUGGGUCCACUUCCAAGUUAUUCAGAAUUAAACUAAAUUAACCAUUCCAUCAAGUAAUUACUAUAGCUCUCAUGGAACCUCUCCCAGUAUGCUCCUCAGGUCCAUUGUCUGCCUUCUUGUAGUUGCUUUUGAAUCAAGGCUUCUCUGCCCUCUUUCUGGAAUCCACAAUUUGGUCAAGAGCAAGUACCAACCAAGCUGCAACCAACAGCACAUAAUUGAGUGUGAUACACAGAGGGCUUCUACUGAAACAAAGAUGAAAUCUGAGAAGACAUUUAUCAGGUGGAAAGAGGAACACUUUU
This is a long non-coding RNA of Mauremys mutica (yellowpond turtle), 1540 nucleotides long. RefSeq lists it as uncharacterized. The transcript is spliced from 7 exons. NCBI's taxonomy places the organism in Eukaryota, Metazoa, Chordata, Testudines, Geoemydidae. The record is from RefSeq and is a predicted model, not a curated record.